AUUGAACGCUGGCGGCAUGCCUCACACAUGCAAGUCGAACGGUAACAGGUCUUCGGAUGCUGACGAGUGGCGAACGGGUGAGUAAUACAUCGGAACGUGCCUAGUAGUGGGGGACAACUACUCGAAAGAGUGGCUAAUACCGCAUGAGAUCUACGGAUGAAAGCAGGGGAUCGCAAGACCUUGUGCUACUAGAGCGGCCGAUGGCAGAUUAGGUAGUUGGUGGGAUAAGAGCUUACCAAGCCGACGAUCUGUAGCUGGUCUGAGAGGACGAUCAGCCACACUGGGACUGAGACACGGCCCAGACUCCUACGGGAGGCAGCAGUGGGGAAUUUUGGACAAUGGGCGCAAGCCUGAUCCAGCAACGCCGCGUGCAGGAUGAAGGCCUUCGGGUUGUAAACUGCUUUUGUACGGAACGAAAAGCCCCGGGUUAAUACCCUGGGGUCAUGACGGUACCGUAAGAAUAAGCACCGGCUAACUACGUGCCAGCCGCCGCAGUAA
Molecule: ribosomal RNA, 498 nt
Filed under: uncultured bacterium
Lineage: Bacteria
Description: partial 16S ribosomal RNA
Rfam family: Bacterial small subunit ribosomal RNA
Source: RNAcentral